CCUACGGGAGGCAGCAGUGGGGGAUAUUGCACAAUGGGGGAAACCCUGAUGCAGCGACGCCGCGUGUGGGAAGACGGUCCUCUGGAUUGUAAACCACUGUCCCCAGGGACGAAGAUGACGGUACCUGGGGAGGAAGCUCCGGCUAACUACGUGCCAGCAGCCGCGGUAAUACGGGGGAUGCGAGCGUUAUCCGGAUUUAUUGGGUUUAAAGGGUGCGUAGGCGGCGCUUCAGGUCAGCGGUGAAAUACCGGGGCUCAACCCCGGGGCUGCCGUUGAAACCGGAGCGCUAGAAUUCCGAUGCCGUCGGAGGAAUGUGUGGUGUAGCGGUGAAAUGCAUAGAUAUCACACAGAACACCGAGUGCGAAGGCAUCUGACGAAUCGGAGAUUGACGCUGAUGCACGAAAGCGUGGGUAUCGAACAGGAUUAGAUACCCUUGUAGUC
RNAcentral lists this ribosomal RNA (441 nucleotides) under uncultured bacterium. Its description in RNAcentral is "partial 16S ribosomal RNA". It matches the Rfam family "Bacterial small subunit ribosomal RNA", at positions 338 to 795 of the family's 1533-position model. The record is from RNAcentral.